RNAcentral lists this ribosomal RNA (253 nucleotides) under uncultured bacterium. Its description in RNAcentral is "partial 16S ribosomal RNA". It matches the Rfam family "Bacterial small subunit ribosomal RNA", at positions 524 to 776 of the family's 1533-position model. The record is from RNAcentral.
UACGUAGGGGGCGAGCGUUGUCCGGAUUUAUUGGGCGUAAAGAGCGUGUAGGCGGUUCGGUAAGUCUGUCGUGAAAUCCUGAGGCUCAACCUCGGGCGUGCGAUGGAUACUGCCGGGCUAGAGGGUGGUAGAGGCGAGUGGAAUUCCCGGUGUAGCGGUGAAAUGCGCAGAUAUCGGGAGGAACACCAGUAGCGAAGGCGGCUCGCUGGGCCACACCUGACGCUGAGACGCGAAAGCUAGGGGAGCAAACGGG